CUCACUGUUAAAACGGGUAUGCUUAAUGAGCUUCAGGACACUUUUUGUUUCAAAAUAAACUAAAUUAUCUUGCAUUUUACUUCUGCUUGGUCUUCAGUUUCCUUUCUCUGUGGGUUGCAGAGACUUCAUGGAUAAAUGGUUCUUUAUCCUAGCUGCAAAGAUACCUUCACGUCACAGAAGCAGCAAGACAAGUGAGUGACCUGCCUAGCAUCAUACAUCGUGUUACAGAGGAGCUGAGUUUACAUUUUUCUGGCAGUUUCUGCUCUUUGUUUCUUCUUCUCACUUAUAUCAACGUGAAGGACACAUAUAUCUCCAUCCUUGUCCCCACGGCCACGAAGAAAUACGACAGGGCCAAAAACAAAGUCUACACAGGUGGGCAGGAAGCUGGGAGAAGACCCCACGUUCCCGGAGCUUCCCCAUUGCUGGGUUGAUCUUGGUUCUGGAGCGGUGUUCGGUGGAGACUUUGGGAAGUUAUCACGGCUCACAGGUGUGCUGCUCCUGCUGACCUGCCAGGAGACAGAGCAUCUGACCCUGACACUCAAUUAGCAGAACAGACGGCGUGUAACGUAUGCUUGACACUGAUAUGAUUUAACGUUAAUAACUGGUUUUCAAAUAUUUAUUACAAUGGCUGUUUUAAUAAAUAUUUCAUGAACACUAUUUUUUUCAAAAACCCUCUGUUGUCAGCUUUGCUGCCUUAAUUUGCCUUAAUGAGGAUUUUUUAAAAUGCAGUGAUAAAUUGCUUCUCUGCCAAUGUACGGGAGGCAAAGAGAGCUCUUCUGGAAUAUCCGUCAUCUGGGGUAGCAAACCAGGAAAGGACGAAGACCCAGCACAAAAAGAGCCCAAAAAAGGGACAGGCAGCUGUUCCACUGCUCGACAGCUCCUUGGAUACCAGGAAGUGUGUCAGUGACAGAUAGUGGCACAAAGCCCUUGGAGAGGAAACUGAGGAGUAUAGGACCUUCUUGGGAAAUCCUGGAAAACGUAGAAGCAAAGGGAGAGUCCGGGCCCAGCCCUGCUUGGAAGGUGGAGGAGAGCAGAGCCACUCUGGGGCCU
RNAcentral lists this long non-coding RNA (1050 nucleotides) under Macaca mulatta (Rhesus monkey). RNAcentral describes it as "lncRNA (ENSMMUG00000059958.1)". The record is from RNAcentral. Lineage: Eukaryota; Metazoa; Chordata; Mammalia; Primates; Cercopithecidae.